This 289-nucleotide ribosomal RNA is filed under the name uncultured Sphingomonas sp. Its description in RNAcentral is "partial 16S ribosomal RNA". Lineage: Bacteria; Pseudomonadati; Pseudomonadota; Alphaproteobacteria; Sphingomonadales; Sphingomonadaceae. The record is from RNAcentral.
CUACCCGGGUAUCUAAUCCUGUUUGCUCCCCACGCUUUCGCACCUCAGCGUCAACAGUCGUCCAGUGGGCCGCCUUCGCCACUGGUGUUCUUCCGAAUAUCUACGAAUUUCACCUCUACACUCGGAAUUCCACCCACCUCUCCGACGUUCAAGCGAUCCAGUCUCAAAGGCAAUUCCGGGGUUGAGCCCCGGGCUUUCACCUCUGACUUAGAUCGCCGCCUACGUGCGCUUUACGCCCAGUGAUUCCGAACAACGCUAGCCCCCUCCGUAUUACCGCGGCUGCUGGCAC